AUUGGACGCUGGCGGCAGGCCUAACGCAUGCAAGUCGGGCGGAUGAAGGGAGCUUGCUCCUGGAUUCAGCGGCGGACGGGUGAGUAAUGCCUAGGAAUCUGCCUGGUAGUGGGGGAUAACGUCCGGAAACGGGCGCUAAUACCGCAUACGUCCUGAGGGAGAAAGUGGGGGAUCUUCGGACCUCACGCUAUCAGAUGAGCCUAGGUCGGAUUAGCUAGUUGGUGGGGUAAAGGCCUACCAAGGCGACGAUCCGUAACUGGUCUGAGAGGAUGAUCAGUCACACUGGAACUGAGACACGGUCCAGACUCCUACGGGAGGCAGCAGUGGGGAAUAUUGGACAAAGGGCGAAAGACUGAUCCAGCCAUGCCGCGUGUGUGAAGAAGGUCUUCGGAUUGUAAAGCACUUUAAGUUGGGAGGAAGGGCAGUAAGUUAAUACCUUGCUGUUUUGACGUUACCAACAGAAUAAGCACCGGCUAACUUCGUG
This 484-nucleotide ribosomal RNA is filed under the name uncultured bacterium. RNAcentral describes it as "partial 16S ribosomal RNA". It matches the Rfam family "Bacterial small subunit ribosomal RNA", at positions 30 to 507 of the family's 1533-position model. The record is from RNAcentral.